GAUGAACGCUGGCGGCGUGCCUAAUACAUGCAAGUCGAACGAGUUCUCGUUGAUGAUCGGUGCUUGCACCGAGAUUCAACAUGGAACGAGUGGCGGACGGGUGAGUAACACGUGAGUAACCUGCCCUUAAGUGGGGGAUAACAUUUGGAAACAGAUGCUAAUACCGCAUAGAUCCAAGAACCGCAUGGUUCUUGGCUGAAAGAUGGCGUAAGCUAUCGCUUUUGGAUGGACCCGCGGCGUAUUAGCUAGUUGGUGAGGUAAUGGCUCACCAAGGCGAUGAUACGUAGCCGAACUGAGAGGUUGAUCGGCCACAUUGGGACUGAGACACGGCCCAAACUCCUACGGGAGGCAGCAGUAGGGAAUCUUCCACAAUGGACGCAAGUCUGAUGGAGCAACGCCGCGUGAGUGAAGAAGGCUUUCGGGUCGUAAAACUCUGUUGUUGGAGAAGAAUGGUCGGCAGAGUAACUGUUGUCGGCGUGACGGUAUCCAACCAGAAAGCCACGGCUAACUACGUGCCAGCAGCCGCGGUAAUACGUAGGUGGCAAGCGUUAUCCGGAUUUAUUGGGCGUAAAGCGAGCGCAGGCGGUUUUUUAAGUCUGAUGUGAAAGCCCUCGGCUUAACCGAGGAAGCGCAUCGGGAACUGGGAAACUUGAGUGCAGAAGAGGACAGUGGAACUCCAUGUGUAGCGGUGAAAUGCGUAGAUAUAUGGAAGAACACCAGUGGCGAAGGCGGCUGUCUGGUCUGUAACUGACGCUGAGGCUCGAAAGCAUGGGUAGCGAACAGGAUUAGAUACCCUGGUAGUCCAUGCCGUAAACGAUGAAUGCUAGGUGUUGGAGGGUUUCCGCCCUUCAGUGCCGCAGCUAACGCAUUAAGCAUUCCGCCUGGGGAGUACGACCGCAAGGUUGAAACUCAAAGGAAUUGACGGGGGCCCGCACAAGCGGUGGAGCAUGUGGUUUAAUUCGAAGCAACGCGAAGAACCUUACCAGGUCUUGACAUCUUUUGAUCACCUGAGAGAUCAGGUUUCCCCUUCGGGGGCAAAAUGACAGGUGGUGCAUGGUUGUCGUCAGCUCGUGUCGUGAGAUGUUGGGUUAAGUCCCGCAACGAGCGCAACCCUUAUGACUAGUUGCCAGCAUUUAGUUGGGCACUCUAGUAAGACUGCCGGUGACAAACCGGAGGAAGGUGGGGAUGACGUCAAAUCAUCAUGCCCCUUAUGACCUGGGCUACACACGUGCUACAAUGGAUGGUACAACGAGUUGCGAGACCGCGAGGUCAAGCUAAUCUCUUAAAGCCAUUCUCAGUUCGGACUGUAGGCUGCAACUCGCCUACACGAAGUCGGAAUCGCUAGUAAUCGCGGAUCAGCACGCCGCGGUGAAUACGUUCCCGGGCCUUGUACACACCGCCCGUCACACCAUGAGAGUUUGUAACACCCGAAGCCGGUGGCGUAACCCUUUUAGGGAGCGAGCCGUCUAAGGUGGGACAAAUGAUUAGGGUGA
Molecule: ribosomal RNA, 1493 nt
Filed under: uncultured organism
Description: SSU rRNA
Rfam family: Bacterial small subunit ribosomal RNA
Source: RNAcentral